Long non-coding RNA from Peromyscus eremicus (cactus mouse), 441 nucleotides. RefSeq lists it as uncharacterized. NCBI's taxonomy places the organism in Eukaryota, Metazoa, Chordata, Mammalia, Rodentia, Cricetidae. The transcript has 3 exons. The record is from RefSeq and is a predicted model, not a curated record.
CACAUAGGUGUGCUGAGCCAGUAAGGACCUAGGCCAUCAGGUCCUAGGACCUCUGACCCUCUGGGUCAAGUCCAUUACCGGACCCCCACCAUUGGAGCUCACUUGCAGGAGGAGACUUCCACAAGUCUCUGAAGCUAUCCCCCCUAUUUCUUGAGGACACUCACCAGUGUGCCUGGACAGUAGGGACCUACGACAACAGGUCCCAGGACCACUGACCCUCUGGGUCAAGUCCACUUCUGGCCCUGCCCCACACCCAUUGGAGCUCCCCUGCUGGAGAAUUCUCCAAAGCCUCCCAAGUUACUCCCCCUGUUACUUGAGGAGGCAAAUAGGUGUGCUGAGCCAGUAAGGACCUAGGCCAUCAGGUCCUAGGACCUCUGACCCUCUGGGUCAAGUCCAUUACCGGACCCCCAUCAUUGGAGCUCACUUGCAGGAGGAGACUUC